This is a long non-coding RNA of Struthio camelus australis, 389 nucleotides long. Lineage: Eukaryota; Metazoa; Chordata; Aves; Struthioniformes; Struthionidae. The record is from Ensembl.
GUUUCAAACCAAAUAUUCCACUGCACGCAGGGACAGGCUGCUGCUUCUCUGGAAGAGCACAGAUUUUACUUUCAUCACAAAUAAAACAGGUCCUCAGACAGUAACAACGUCAUUUAGAAGAGGAAAUUGAUGCUUUAACCACAGUUUCUUAAUCCUAGAGGAUCUUUCCAUACUGUAUUCUUAGAGAAUUGCUAAAAUCUCUUGCCAUUAUUUCUCUAGCUUACGGAUCACCUGUUCUGUACUUCCACCUCUUCAAGAAAUGAGAAUCAGUAGUUGUAACCAGUUAAGCCGGGACCUAAACGCCUGCCCAUCUGAAGGAUGUCUGCGCUGAUAAGAUAAAGCCAACAGCUCUGCAGCAUAAUAAAGUUUCAAUUUAUUCACCUGCCUCA